RNAcentral lists this ribosomal RNA (475 nucleotides) under uncultured bacterium. Its description in RNAcentral is "partial 16S ribosomal RNA". It matches the Rfam family "Bacterial small subunit ribosomal RNA", at positions 28 to 507 of the family's 1533-position model. The record is from RNAcentral.
GAUGAACGCUAGCGGCAGGCCUAACACAUGCAAGUCGAGGGAUAAGCCUUCGGGCUAAGACCGGCGCACGGGUGCGUAACGCGUAUACAAUCUGCCUUUUAUCCGGGGGAUAGCCCGAAGAAAUUUGGAUUAAUACCCUAUGGUAUAAGAGCACGGCAUCGUGCACUUAUUAAAGCUACGGCGGUAAAAGAUGAGUAUGCGUUCUAUUAGCUAGUUGGAGAGGUAACGGCUCCCCAAGGCGACGAUAGAUAGGGGUUCUGAGAGGGAUGUCCCCCACACUGGUACUGAGAUACGGACCAGACUCCUACGGGAGGCAGCAGUGAGGAAUAUUGGACAAUGGUCGGAAGACUGAUCCAGCCAUGCCGCGUGCAGGAUGACGGCCUUAUGGGUUGUAAACUGCUUUUGUAAGGGAAGAAUAAGGAGUACGCGUACUUUGAUGACGGUACCUUACGAAUAAGCAUCGGCUAACUCCGUG